This 464-nucleotide ribosomal RNA is filed under the name uncultured bacterium. RNAcentral's name for it is "partial 16S ribosomal RNA". It matches the Rfam family "Bacterial small subunit ribosomal RNA", at positions 28 to 506 of the family's 1533-position model. The record is from RNAcentral.
GACGAACGCUGGCGGCGUGCUUAACACAUGCAAGUCGAACGGAAAGGCCCUGCUUGCAGGGUACUCGAGUGGCGAACGGGUGAGUAACACGUGGGUGAUCUGCCCUGCACUUCGGGAUAAGCCUGGGAAACUGGGUCUAAUACCGGAUAGGAGCCAUUUUUAGUGUGAUGGUUGGAAAGUUUUUUCGGUGAAGGAUGAGCUCGCGGCCUAUCAGCUUGUUGGUGGGGUAAUGGCCUACCAAGGCGGCGACGGGUAGCCGGCCUGAGAGGGUGGACGGCCACAUUGGGACUGAGAUACGGCCCAGACUCCUCCGGGAGGCAGCAGUGGGGAAUAUUGCACAAUGGGCGCAAGCCUGAUGCAGCGACGCCGCGUGGGGGAUGACGGCCUUCGGGUUGUAAACUCCUUUCGCUAGGGACGAAGCUUUUUGUGACGGUACCUAGAUAAGAAGCACCGGCUAACUACGU